UCUCUAAUUUAGAUGGUGUAUAGUAUGAAUAGGGGAUGAAAGCAAAUUUAAGAAUCAAAUGCUAUAUAUUUAUAGCCUUAAUUCAACCAUUAAGAGUUAAAAGUCACACGUCUACUCAUAUAAUGACCAUUGAAAAUCAUUGAGCAACCAUUAAAUUUGAAAGUGUUCACCAAACAAAUUUCAUAACCUAUGGACCACUAAAGACCAAGCUAGAUGGAGGAUACAGCUGUUGAAGAACAUUACUCACUGCUUACUGGAUGGACUACUGUGCAACACUGCAACAAGAUGGUUGUUCAUUGAUUCAUGAUAUCAAUGGUGAAAGUUCCGGUUAGCACUAAGGUUAAGUGAUGUCCAAUUACAUGUUUUUAUAUUCUAAAUUGGGACCGCCUCCUAUAGUUUAAUUUAAACAUUUAAUUUAAUUUAAACACAAGUGGAUUUGGUUAUAUAACCUCUGGGACAUACAUACACCAUUUUGGAGUAAAAAUACAGUAAAAUCUUUUUGUGCACCAGUAAAUGUUUUGUCAUCAUUAAUAAAUUAAAGUGUUUUAUUACGUAUAUAAUCUAUCUAUUUGCAGCUAAGGUAUCUAAAAAUAUGUUAAAAGUGCAUGUAAAUAUAUCAACUAUAUUUUCUUGUAUUUUAUGAAGAAGAAAAAAACACUAUAGUUUCUUGUAAGUUUUUUUAUGAUAAGUGUAAUGUAUCAUUUUUUAGAUUGAUAUUAAUGGAGGAUGAAAUACUUCUAAAAAAA
Cicer arietinum (chickpea) is the source of this 746-nucleotide non-coding RNA. NCBI's taxonomy places the organism in Eukaryota, Viridiplantae, Streptophyta, Magnoliopsida, Fabales, Fabaceae. The record is from RefSeq and is a predicted model, not a curated record.